GAACCCUGAUUCCCCGUUACCCGUUACGACCAUGGUAGGCGCAGAACCUACCAUCGACAGUUGAUAAGGCAGACAUUUGAAAGAUGCGUCGCCGGUGCGAUGACCGUGCGAUCAGCGUAAAGUUAUUCAGAGUCACCAAGUUGUACGAUGACGAGCGAACCCGCCACCGAUUGGUUUUGAUYUAAUAAAAGCACUCCUUCCGUCUCCGGUCGGAGCUCUGUUUGCAUGUAUUAGCUCUAGAAUUACCACAGUUAUCCAAGUAAUUGUGGGUACGAU
Molecule: ribosomal RNA, 276 nt
Filed under: Onyxacalles vilae
Lineage: Eukaryota; Metazoa; Arthropoda; Insecta; Coleoptera; Curculionidae
Description: partial 18S ribosomal RNA
Source: RNAcentral